Molecule: ribosomal RNA, 497 nt
Filed under: uncultured bacterium
Lineage: Bacteria
Description: partial 16S ribosomal RNA
Rfam family: Bacterial small subunit ribosomal RNA
Source: RNAcentral
GAUGAACGCUGGCGGCGUGCCUAAUACAUGCAAGUCGAGCGAACAGAUAAGGAGCUUGCUCCUUUGACGUUAACGGCGGACGGGUGAGUAACACGUGGAUAACCUACCUAUAAGACUGGGAUAACUUCGGGAAACCGGAGCUAAUACCGGAUAACAUAUUGAACCGCAUGGUUCAAUAGUGAAAGGCGGCUUUGCUGUCACUUAUAGAUGGAUCCGCGCCGUAUUAGCUAGUUGGUAAGGUAACGGCUUACCAAGGCAACGAUACGUAGCCGACCUGAGAGGGUGAUCGGCCACAAUGGAACUGAGACACGGUCCAGACUCCUACGGGAGGCAGCAGUAGGGAAUCUUCCGCAAUGGGCGAAAGCCUGACGGAGCAACGCCGCGUGAGUGAUGAAGGUCUUCGGAUCGUAAAACUCUGUUAUCAGGGAAGAACAAAUGUGUAAGUAACUGUGCACAUCUUGACGGUACCUGAUCAGAAAGCCACGGCUAACUACGUG